AAAACAUGUCUCUUUGAUUUAUUUUAAUAAAGAGUUGGGCCUGCUCGGUGAUUAAUAUUUAACAGCUGCGGUAUUAUAACUGUACUAAGGUAGCAUAAUAAUUUGCCUUAUAAAUUGAGGCUAGAAUGAAUGGUUUGACGAAAAUUAUACUGUCUCUGUCUUAUUUAUUAGAAGUUAAUUUUUAUAGUGAGAAAGCUUGGAUAAUUUAAAGGGACGAAAAGACCCUAUUGAGCUUUAUAUUAUACUUUAAAAUUAUUUAUUGUUUUUAUUUAAAUAUAAUUUUGGUUGGGGUGAUCAAGGAAUAAAUAAUUAAUUUUUAACUUCCUUAAUUUGUUUAUAGUUAUAUGAAUAAACCAAAUUUUUUGCUUAGAAGAUAAGUUACCAUAGGGAUAACAGCGUAAUUUUUUUUGAAAGUUCAUAUUGAAAAAAGAGAUUGCGACCUCGAUGUUGGAUUAAAAUAACCUUAAGGUGAAGAGGCUUUAAUUGGUGAAUCUGUUCGAUUUUUAAAAUUUUACGUGAUC
Molecule: ribosomal RNA, 521 nt
Filed under: Amphioctopus aegina
Lineage: Eukaryota; Metazoa; Mollusca; Cephalopoda; Octopoda; Octopodidae
Description: partial 16S rRNA
Rfam family: Bacterial large subunit ribosomal RNA
Source: RNAcentral